Molecule: long non-coding RNA, 1750 nt
Organism: Biomphalaria glabrata
Lineage: Eukaryota; Metazoa; Mollusca; Gastropoda; Planorbidae
Exons: 4
Source: RefSeq, a predicted model, not a curated record
UGAUUUAAUAGCUUCAUUCACACUAUUUUUACAUUGACACAUUCGCUUUACUUAUUACAUUGUUAUUUCGUUUAAUUGUUUACAAAACACUCUCAGUGACUAUAUCGACAGUAAUGCGCAAAUAAAGACCCGCGGUCUAUAAUAAUGCAUGACGCGUAGGACGUAAUCAUCUUCUUUUUUGAAGUAACGUCUGUAUUAUGAUAAGAUUAUGAUAAGAUGAUAAGAUACACAUACACUAAUACAGUACUACUCUACUAGAUCUACUUCUAGUAUUAGUAGAUCUACUACUCAUCAUCUAGAGAGUAGAGUACUCUAGCUAGGCCUAGGACUAGUCACUAGGUAGUACUAGACUGACUAGAGUAGUAGGUAGGCUAGUUGGUAUUAUAAUUGUGUAAAGCCUAGUUAGGCUAGAUCUAGAUCUAGUACUAGACUAGAAUCUAGAUAAAUUAUCUUCUCUGUUGAAGAUUGAACUUGAAGUAAUGUCUGUAGUUUAUAAGAUUUGGAUAAGAUUUAAAUGGGCCUCAUUCACCGAAACGUACGGUCACGUGACAACCAUCAACGAUUCACUUGUGUGUAUAGAAUAGUAUAGAUUAGUACUGGAAAGAUGGGGAAGCAAUGCGUUGCAUUUGACUAAUAAUUAUGAACAUAAAAAAGAAUGGAAAAAAAAAAAAAGGUUUUCAUCGUUUUCCUGUGAACAAUCCAAAGCUAUGUAAAGAAUGGGUUGUCAAACUGAAACGAAAAAACUUCACUGCAAGUGUACACUCUGUAAUAUGUUCAGUCUUCAGAGCAUUUUGAGGAGGACUGUUUUAUUUACCAGCCUUUUACAAAUCGCAGACUUCUAAAGCCUGGUGCUGUGCCGACCAAGUUUUCUUUUUCCAAAAGUACACCAAGCCGAAAAAAGACCAAAUAUGAAUUUAGAGAGACAAUUAGGACUGGAAGAUGCAAGAUGGAAAUUUCUUUUGGUUACAUCCCUUUGACCAAAUAAAUAAAUUUUCAAGACAACCCAAACUGGACAUGAAUUCAUGAUAAUGGACCAAAUGGACUACUAAAUUGUUUAAAAAAACAAAACAAAAAACACUAUUUCAUUAUGGACAAGAUUGACUUAUAACAUAUUUUUCAACUAAUAAAUUUAAUCUUAAAAUGAAUUAUAUUCAAAAAUGAAAUAAUUUUUAAGCUCAUCAUACACAUACUUACUUUGAGCUCUGUACAUUUAUAGAAACCAAAUCUUAUCUUUUAUAAUACAGACGUUACUUCAAAAGAGAAGAUGAUUACGUCCUACGCGUCAUGUAUGGUUUUAUUAUAUGUACAUUUUUGUAACUCUAGCAGACCCCAGAGAAUCCCUAAUGAUAUAGGAUGGAGGUCCUUUGUCCUAGGUACUUAAGGGAAAAAUUGUUGCAAAAAAAAUAAAUAAUAAUAAGAAGAAUUAAUUUUUAUAACUCAUAAGUCUUUAAAAAAAAAAUUAAAAAAAUUUGGGAAUAUUUAUUAUGAGGAAAAUUUUCAAUAAUUUUGUGAAUAGAUUUUGCCAUUAUUUUCUGGACCUUUGCUGUCAUCACUUUCUGGACCUUUGCUGUCAUCAUUUUAUGGACCUUUGCUGCAGCCUACUCCACGAUGAUGCUGGAAAUCCUGGAAUGUGUUUUUGAAACUAUUUCCUUCAUAAAAAUGUUGUUUUUAUGAAAUAUUCUUUGUAUUAUUAAUAAUAUAAAAUAAUAUGUUAUGUGUUUUCUUUAAAAAAAAAGUUUUGCCUUCCCUA